UAAGAAAAAUGGGUAGGAAAGAGCAAGGGUAGGGAAGACUAAGAGGGCUGCGGCAUUCAAAGUGCCCACAAAGCAGCAAAGUUGAAAAUAAAAUAAAAAAUGAACUCAAUCGAAUGGAAAAUUGACAAAAGGCUGGAAAUUGAAAUGAAAUGAAAGAGGAAAAGCAAGUAAGAAAGAAAAGAGAUAGUGGGUACUUUAUAUAGCUUAGAUUUCACUUCAGCCAUCCAUGAAAAUUGAUAAUAAGCCAAAGCUCAUUUUACAGAGCACCUUUUUUAGAAGCAUUUGGAUAGGGAAUAUGGGUAGAGAAUAGAGUCGAAGAAAGAUUGAACAGUGAUGAAACAUAAUAGUGUUAAUGUUGUUUCAAGUACAUAAUAGUUUUAAUGUUGUCUGAUUUCUGCCAUUACUAUAAAGUUGGAACUUUCUUUAUGUUAUUGACAAAGUUGAUUGAAUCUGUUGGUGAAAUUUCUUGGUUGGAUUUUAGGUUCAACUUUGUGUUGCAGUGAUUGUGUACAUAUGUGUGUUUAGCCUCUUUAAUUUAAGUGGUCUACAAACACAUGCUUUCUCUUGCUGCUUGCUCACUCUCUGUGAUUGAUAGAUUAUUUUGUUAGCAGAAAGGAGUAUAUUGCAUAUUCACAUGGCUUAAAGGUGCGGUAGUGAUGCUUCCCCAAUAAAGUUUCACUGUGUUGUGGUAAUUGCGUGCUUUUCUAUAUAUUCAUCCAUUUAAACUCUGCAGAUCCUUCAUGGUUGCUCUGCUGGAAACCAUGAAGGAUCUGAUAGGAGCUGGCUCAACGAUCCAAAAGAUACUGUGUUACUGACUGAUACAUGAGUACAUCAUAACGAAGCAUCAUGGGGGCUUAAUUGUUGGCUAAUUAUUUGCGCGACUGCUGCAUGUGAAGCUUUAAAAAGCUCACGAACAUGUUGCAGAGCGCGGAAUGAAUAUGGUACUAAAGUCAUUAUGUUCCAUCAGCGAGGAAGAAACAUCGACCCCACAUAUUGUGCUAUACAGAGCUUGAUACCUGUCCCUUUGAUGGUGUAUUUUUGAUUCGAGAGUGAUUCCAAAAAAUAUUUAGUGAUGGCAUUGGCAAGCAAUAUCAAUUUAAUUUGAUAUGAGUUUUUGCUUUAUCAACUUGAUCUCCUGAUAAUGCAUAGUGUAUGUGACUUUCGAAGUUCAAAUGCUACUUGCAGAACUGAAUUCUAUUAAGCAUUUACAGAUUCUAUUA
This is a long non-coding RNA of Lycium barbarum (goji berry), 1220 nucleotides long. RefSeq lists it as uncharacterized. The transcript has 6 exons. The record is from RefSeq and is a predicted model, not a curated record. Lineage: Eukaryota; Viridiplantae; Streptophyta; Magnoliopsida; Solanales; Solanaceae.